RNAcentral lists this non-coding RNA (29 nucleotides) under Mus musculus (house mouse). The record is from RNAcentral. Lineage: Eukaryota; Metazoa; Chordata; Mammalia; Rodentia; Muridae.
UCCACCGCUUUGUCAGUGGUCUGCCGUUC